RNAcentral lists this long non-coding RNA (207 nucleotides) under Mytilus galloprovincialis (Mediterranean mussel). The record is from RNAcentral. Lineage: Eukaryota; Metazoa; Mollusca; Bivalvia; Mytilida; Mytilidae.
GGGACAUUGGAACUCUGUUCCUUUAUUGAAAAAAAAAAAAUUCUAAAUAGAAAGGGGUAUUUAUAAGCCCAGGAAUUAUCACACUCCAUUUCAGUAAAUACUAGUAGAGUUUUUAUCACGUCGUCUUUCAUGUCACAGGAAACGAUAUCAGGAUAUGAUGGUUUAGUUGUUUACUAUUAACGUUGGUAUGUCAUCGCUUGGCUCAAU